UACGUAGGGUGCAAGCGUUGUCCGGAAUUAUUGGGCGUAAAGAGCUCGUAGGCGGUGUGUCGCGUCGGCCGUGAAAACUGUGGCUUAACUAUGGGCUUGCGGUCGAUACGGGCAUCACUGGAGUUCGGCAGGGGAGACUGGAAUUCCUGGUGUAGCGGUGAAAUGCGCAGAUAUCAGGAGGAACACCGGUGGCGAAGGCGGGUCUCUGGGCCGAUGACUGACGCUGAGGAGCGAAAGCGUGGGGAGCGAACAGG
Molecule: ribosomal RNA, 254 nt
Filed under: uncultured bacterium
Lineage: Bacteria
Description: partial 16S ribosomal RNA
Rfam family: Bacterial small subunit ribosomal RNA
Source: RNAcentral